GUUCUUCGCUCAGUCGGCUGCGGCUCUUCCUCGGGCAGCGGAAGCGGCGCGGCGGUCGGAGAAGUGGCCUAAAACUUCGGCGUUGGGUGAAAGAAAAUGGCCUGAACCAAGCAGACGGCUGUAAAUCCACCGGUGGGAAAGCCCCCCCGCAAACAGCUGGCCACGAAAGUCGCCAGGAAAAGCGCCACCUCUACCGGCGGGGUGAAGAAGCCUCAUCGCUACAGGGCCGGGACCCUGGCGCUUCGAGAGAUUCGUCGUUAUCAGAAGUCGACCGAGCUGCUCAUCCGGAAGCUGCUCUUCCAGAGGUUGGUGAGGGAGAUCGCGCGGGAUUUCAAAACCGACCUGAGGUUUCAGAGCGCAGCCAUCGGUGCGCUGCCGGAGGCUAGCGAAGCGUACCUGGUGAGUCUGUUCGAAGAUACCAACCUGUGUGCCCUCCACGCUAAGAGAGUCACCAUCAUGCCCAAAGACAUCCAGUUGGCCCGCCGGAUACGGGGAGAGAGAGCUUAAGUGAAGGCAGUUUUUAUGGCGUUUUGUAGUAAAUUCUGUAAAACACUUUGGUUUAAUUUGUGACUUUUUUUGUAAGAAAUUGUUUAUAUAAUAUGUUGCGUUUGUACUUAAGUCAUUCCAUCUUUCACUCAGGAUGAAUGCGAAAGUGACUGUUCACAGACCUCAGUGAUGUGAGCACUGUUGCUCAGGAGCGACAAGUUGCUAAUAUGCAGAAGGGAUGGGUGAUAUUUCUUGCUUCUCAUGAUGCAUGUUUCUGUAUGUUAAUGAUUUGUUGGGUAGCUAUUAAGGUACUAGAGUUGAUAAAUGUGUACUGAGUCCUUUUGCAAUAAAACUGGUUAUGACUUGAUCCAGGUGUUUAACAAUUGGGGCUGUUAAGUCUGACCAUACAUCACUGUGAUAGAAUGUGGGCUUUUUCAAGGGUGAAGAUACAAGUCUUAACCACAGUGUAACUUACAGUUUCCUUUAAAAAAAAAAAAAAAGUAAACCUGGCAGCUAUAGAAUACACUAUGUGCAUUUAUAAUAGCUAUUUUAUUUAUUGUAGUGUCAACAUUUUUAAAUUAAAUGUUUUACAUUCACAAGUGGUGGGGAGUCUUGUCAUUAGGCUGUGUGUAAUUUAGAGUCCAGUUGGUUUUCUUCUGACUGCACUUGUUCUCAUAGUAGUAAAAUGCUAUGCGCAUUUAUACCUUGCAUAAGUCCUCAUUCUACCACAUGUUAAUCCUCUAGCUGAUAAUGCAAACACUAACUGGGGGAUUUUAUUUAUAAGGGCUCUAGAAAAAACAAGUUAUUCACACUAGCAUCAUCUUAACUAAUAUUCUGAACUAGUUAGUGCAGCUUUUCAUUGUGUUGUGUGGUUGGUCUCCUAACUAGGUUGAGUUUUUCUCCUCUGCUAAGAGGAAACAGUACCGAAGUUCUUUUUCUUGUGGCAUUUGUAUGAUGAAAACUUGGUGUGGGGGAGGAGCACAAAACUCCAGCCCACUGAACCUCUGCCUAUUAAGAUGGUGUUGGGUUAGGUUACAUCUGGUUACUGUCCUGGGAAAAUAAUUUUUAUAGAGAUGGCCUUCCAAGUGGUUUUAAAAUUUACUGAAGUUUUUAGGUCAAUUAUGUAUGUUGACUAAAUUUACAAAUAAACUUGUUUAUCCAAAAAA
Nomascus leucogenys (northern white-cheeked gibbon) is the source of this 1652-nucleotide RNA transcript. It is a transcript of the gene named histone H3.3-like, with no coding region annotated. The transcript has a single exon. NCBI's taxonomy places the organism in Eukaryota, Metazoa, Chordata, Mammalia, Primates, Hylobatidae. The record is from RefSeq and is a predicted model, not a curated record.